This is a long non-coding RNA of Gallus gallus (chicken), 297 nucleotides long. RefSeq lists it as uncharacterized. Lineage: Eukaryota; Metazoa; Chordata; Aves; Galliformes; Phasianidae. The transcript is spliced from 4 exons. The record is from RefSeq and is a predicted model, not a curated record.
GAUUCCAUAGCGACCAGAAUUGCCAAACAUAGUCUUAACAGAAAAGUCAAACAGAUACUCAUCUUAGGAUGACACGAACCAUGACUAUGUCUACAUGAUCUCUAGAAAGUUGGACUGGCAUAUUUUAGUAUGGCAUGGGACACAGCACCAACAUUUUUAGAACCAUUUCAGCUAGUAAUUUCUAUUGAGGAGCAUACCUUGGGGAUUGCUGCUGCAACUGGUCCUAUGUAGGCUAUUAUGAGGGGAAGCAGCAUUGAGAACAGACUGGAAGAGCUGAGUAGUUCUGGAAUGUCUUCA